This 629-nucleotide ribosomal RNA is filed under the name uncultured euryarchaeote. RNAcentral describes it as "bacterial SSU rRNA". It matches the Rfam family "Archaeal small subunit ribosomal RNA", at positions 249 to 879 of the family's 1478-position model. The record is from RNAcentral. Lineage: Archaea; Methanobacteriati; Methanobacteriota.
CCAACAAGCCGAUAAUCGGUACGGGUUGUGAGAGCAAGAGCCCGGAGAUGGAUUCUGAGACACGAAUCCAGGUCCUACGGGGCGCAGCAGGCGCGAAAACUUUACACUGCGCGAAAGCGCGAUAAGGGGACCUCGAGUGCGUGCGCAAAGCGUACGCUUUUCAGAUGCCUAAAAAGCAUCUGGAAUAAGGGCCGGGCAAGACCGGUGCCAGCCGCCGCGGUAACACCGGCGGCUCAAGUGGUGGCCGCUAUUAUUGGGCUUAAAGGGUCCGUAGCCGGACCAGUUAGUCCCUUGGGAAAUCUUACGGCUUAACCGUAAGGCUGCCAAUGGAUACUGCUGGUCUUGGGACCGGGAGAGGCAAGAGGUACCUCAGGGGUAGGAGUGAAAUCCUGUAAUCCUUGAGGGACCGCCAGUGGCGAAGGCGUCUUGCUAGAACGGGUCCGACGGUGAGGGACGAAAGCUAGGGGCACGAACCGGAUUAGAUACCCGGGUAGUCCUAGCCGUAAACGAUGCGAGCUAGGUGUCACGUGGAUUGCGAAUCCAUGUGGUGCCGAAGGGAAACCGUGAAGCUCGCCGCCUGGGAAGUACGGCCGCAAGGCUGAAACUUAAAGGAAUUGGCGGGGGAGCAC